RNAcentral lists this long non-coding RNA (1581 nucleotides) under Nicotiana tabacum (common tobacco). RNAcentral's name for it is "long non-coding RNA (NTAB_LNC006353)". Lineage: Eukaryota; Viridiplantae; Streptophyta; Magnoliopsida; Solanales; Solanaceae. The record is from RNAcentral.
AGAAACACAGAGUAGAGAAAUAAAAGACCAUCCCUUACUUUUUGCCUUGCUGGCCUGCUGCGCUAUUGUCAGAUACCUGUGAAAUCUUGCACUCUAACUCUGAAUCUAAUUCAAUUUCAGGUUAGAUUCUUUUGUCUUUUUGUUUUUUUGCUCAAUUUAUAAUCUGAAUUUUAUUGUUAGAGUCUUUAGAGAUUGAAAAUUUACUAAAUAUUUCUAAAUCUCUUAAAUAAUUUACAACUAGAAUAAAAUAAUUGAUACUUAGAUGACCCGAUUCAUCAUUUCCGAACAUAUAUUUGUUCUUUAAACAAGAAAAUACGGAAAAAAUUGGUGGAUGUGUAUACGAAUUUGGGACAUAGUUUGAAUUUUCAGAUUUUGAUUUUCAUCGUUCAUUAUAUUAUAAAGGCAUUUCACAUGGCACGAGCUGGAGACAAUAGAAUUUAAUUAUGGACUUCUUCUAUGAUGAUAACUCUCUGAAAGAAUAUUGAUUAGGAACUAUUUGAUUUUUAAAUGUUUCCUUCAUGAUGCCUAGACUCAUAUUUAAGAAGCAAAACUUGUAUAUUGCUCUUGGAUCAUGUGGAUGUGUUUUAUAAGAUUAUUGAUAGGCAACUUCAAGAACUUAACGUAUGUUUCAAUAAGGUGACAAGCGAUUUGUUUCAUGGAGUAGCUUGCCUAAAUCCAGUUAAUUCAUUUUCUAGUUUUGACAUCAGGAAGAUAGUGAGAAUGGCUAAAUUAUAUCCUGAUGACUUCGAUGAAUUUAAUUUGGGUGUCCUUGAGAAUCAACUUGCUAAUUAUAUUAUUGAUGUACGUGAUAUUGAUCAAAGGUUUUUCAAUUUAGGUGGACUUGGUGAACUUUCAGUAAAAGGAGGAGAAAGGUGUGCCUGCUGAAAAAGUGUCAUGAGGUGUUGGUAUUAUUUUUUGCUGAAACCAUGAGUAUGAGAUUCAGAUGAUUUGGUAGACCUAACAGAAACACCAGACCCAGCAAAAUCUCCACAUACCCUUUAGACUGAACACAAGAUGCAACCCCUUUGCUUCUUGUGAAUUUAAAAUCCUGAGGAAACCCAUGCAACCUGUAGCACUUCUCAAUAGUGUGCCCGAGUUUUUUUUUACAGUAUUUGCAAGUGAGGUUGGAUGUUGAUCCCUUUUUUAAGUCAAAUUGAACCCUUUGGCUGAUUCCUUUAUUGUUGUUGAAAUUACUAGAAAAAGGAGAACCAGUAGACACAGAAAAAGAGGUCGAUUCAUUUGAGAAGCUAGGGACAUGACUUGAAGUUUCCUUUUGCUUCUCAUCAUGUUGUAGCAUAGAGUAAGCCUUAUUGUUUGAAGGAAGAGAGGGCAUCAUCCGGAUAUUGCUCUUACAGGUGGAAUAACAGUCAUUUAGACCACCGGUGAAUUGAAAUAUUUCUUGUUCUUCAAUAUGUUUGGGUAGAACACCACAGGUGCAAACAGGUCCUACAUAGAUAGUGCUAAGCUCAUCCCACAAAUUCCUCAAUUUUGUGAAAUACGUUGCAAUGUCUGAAGAUCCUUGGGAUGUGGCAGCUGAUUCCUUUUGGAGUUGUAUGUAUUUAAAACUAUUAGACUAUCCAA